Molecule: non-coding RNA, 105 nt
Organism: Acanthosepion pharaonis
Lineage: Eukaryota; Metazoa; Mollusca; Cephalopoda; Sepiida; Sepiidae
Source: the annotation of a GenBank genome assembly
ACGGUUACAUCACGUUGAAAUACCGGUUCCCGUAUGAUCAUCGAAGUUAAGCAACGUCUGGUCAGUGCUUAGAUGGGUGACCGUUUGAGAAUGCUAGAUGUUGUA